RNAcentral lists this ribosomal RNA (504 nucleotides) under uncultured bacterium. RNAcentral's name for it is "partial 16S ribosomal RNA". It matches the Rfam family "Bacterial small subunit ribosomal RNA", at positions 29 to 523 of the family's 1533-position model. The record is from RNAcentral.
AUUGAACGCUGGCGGCAGGCCUAACACAUGCAAGUCGAACGGUAGCACAGAGAGCUUGCUCUCGGGUGACGAGUGGCGGACGGGUGAGUAACGUCUGGGAAACUGCCCGAUGGAGGGGGAUAACUACUGGAAACGGUAGCUAAUACCGCAUAACGUCGCAAGACCAAAGUGGGGGACCUUCGGGCCUCACACCAUCGGAUGUGCCCAGAUGGGAUUAGCCAGUAGGUGGGGUAAUGGCUCACCUAGGCGACGAUCCCUAGCUGGUCUGAGAGGAUGACCAGCCACACGGGAACUGAGACACGGUCCAGACUCCUACGGGAGGCAGCAGUGGGGAAUAUUGCACAAUGGGCGCAAGCCUGAUGCAGCCAUGCCGCGUGUAUGAAGAAGGCCUUCGGGUUGUAAAGUACUUUCAGCGGGGAGGAAGGCGGUGAAGUUAAUAGCUUCACCGAUUGACGUUACCCGCAGAAGAAGCACCGGCUAACUCCGUGCCAGCAGCCGCCGUAA